This 251-nucleotide ribosomal RNA is filed under the name uncultured bacterium. RNAcentral's name for it is "partial 16S ribosomal RNA". It matches the Rfam family "Bacterial small subunit ribosomal RNA", at positions 524 to 776 of the family's 1533-position model. The record is from RNAcentral.
UACAGAGGGUGCAAGCGUUAAUCGGAGUUACUGGGCGUAAAGGGCGCGUAGGCGGUUGCUUAAGUUAGAUGUGAAAUCCCUGGGCUUAACCUGAACUGCAUCUAAUACUGAGCAGCUAGAGUAUUGUAGAGGGUAGUGGAAUUUCCGGUGUAGCGGUGAAAUGCGUAGGGAUCGGAAGGAACACCAGUGGCGAAGGCGGCUACCUGGACAAAUACUGACGCUGAGGCGCGAAAGCGUGGGGAGCAAACAGG